GAUCGAACGCCGGCGGCGUGCCUAAUACAUGCAAGUCCUGCGGCGUCUUGAAGGGCUUGCCCUCUAAGACCCAGCGGCGAACGGGUGAGUAACACGUGGCUAACGUGCCCCCAAGACCGGGAUAACUCCGGGAAACCGGGGCUAAUACCGGAUAGGACCCCGGAUCGCAUGAUCCGAGGUGGAAAGGCGGCGUCAAGCUGCCACUCGCGGAUGGGCCCGCGGCGCAUUAGCUGGUUGGUGAGGUAACGGCUCACCAAGGCGACGAUGCGUAGCCGACCUGAGAGGGUGAUCGGCCACACUGGGACUGAGACACGGCCCAGACUCCUACGGGAGGCAGCAGUAGGGAAUCUUCCGCAAUGGGCGCAAGCCUGACGGAGCAACGCCGCGUGAGCGAGGACGGCCUUCGGGUUGUAAAGCUCUGUUCUUCGGGAAGAAGGGCGGGAGGGCGAACAACUCUUCCGCUUGACGGUACCGAAGGAGAAAGCCCCGGCUAACUAC
Molecule: ribosomal RNA, 498 nt
Filed under: uncultured bacterium
Lineage: Bacteria
Description: bacterial SSU rRNA
Rfam family: Bacterial small subunit ribosomal RNA
Source: RNAcentral